UUUUUUUUUUUUGCGACACCUGCAUCAUGUGGAAGUUCCCAAGCCAGGGAUAGAGCCUGUGCCACAGCAGUGACAACUCUGGAUCCGAAGCCACUGAGCCACCAGGGAACUCCUACGUUUUUAUGUAUGUAGCAUUUGUCUAUAUUUUAUUUUGUGCUAAAACACUGUUAGAUUGAAACAAAAAUUUUGGAAUACUAUUGUUUGUAACAAUGUAACUAGUGACUUUGCUGAAACAAAGAAAAGAGUGACAUAUUUUUAUGGGAUAAACGCAUAAUACUUUGUCUAUUGUUUAUAUCUUUGCCUUAUUACUCAUCCAGGCACCACCAGUCCAUAAACAGGAUAUCCCCAUGUGCAUAAUAAUAAUUAGAUUCCAUGGACUUUGAUGUUUGGCCAACUCUAAAUCAUACAAAAACCACAGCUUUACUCACAUUUAUUUUUUCACUUUUGUCAAUAUGAAGGUAUAAUUUUCAAGGUUCAGAGGAUAGAUUCUUUUUUUUAACCCAACUCUUUUGUUAACUUGAUCCAUAACUUUUAAGUAUUUAGACGUGGCUUACAGGCCUCUAUUGCUAGACUUUCCCUGGGCCUCAACUGUUAGCUGAAAGCCUGUUAUUUUCUUAAAAAUUUGUCUCUUGAUUUAGAAAAAUCUCACUUGUAGAAGAGAGUUGAUCUUCAUGAAUGGGGACAGUUGAAGGAGUACAGAUUCAAAUUUUUCUCCUUUUAGGCUCACUCUGGGGUAUGGACUCCCUGGGCUUGGAGCAGCCGAUAAAAUGUUUUGCACUGCUAGGCUGAUUUUUGUCUUUGAGCAAACCCACACAGUUGAAUAUUGUUAAGUUAAAUGUAAUGAUAACACUACUGCAGUCUAACGAAAAUACUGAAGGGAUGAAAUGCUUCAUAAUUAAUUCGUUCUUUUAUUAAAUUUAGUGGAUUGCUGCUUGGCUCUGAUUUUAGUAUUUUACCUUCACCUGUGUAGUGAUUCAUUCAACAGAACUUACUUGCUGGGCAUAGAGGACACAAAUACAAAUAAGAUGUUCCAUUUUCACUUUUGGCAAGAUGCUGGAAUAGGGACUAUGAAUGGGCCGUCGCUACAAAAUAACUAGUCAGGCCUUUUAAUAAAUUACAGUCUUUAUAGAAAAUAAGAGGAGACGUCCACACGGCCUUUCCUGUGUCAAAAACUGUAAAGCAUCUGAGAUUCUGCCCUGCUUUCAAGAUAACAAGGUGCCUGCCAGGUUCAUGGAUGCUGGCCGAGGACAUGAGACACAUGAGUCAGAGACAAUGCAUAUUAUCACUCACAACACAGCAAACAGCAGGAGCUUCAUGUUUUUAUAAGUUUUCUUGUCCUUCGAGCCUCAUGGGAUGGCAGAGCAGCCCAGGUCAAUGCAGUGGAUUUAUACUCUAGCCGAGGAAUGCUCAGAUUACAAAAACACCAUCUUUUAAAGGGAUCGCUAGCAAACUUGCUCAACUUUUUCCUAGAAGGAGAUAUUGUGUUUAUGACUCUAGAUAAAUCUGCCAAGUAAAACCGCACUAAAUAGAGAGAGCAUCUAUAUCUUCCAAGGAAAGGUAGUUCAGAACAAAACCCGUCAAUAGGAUGGUGUGACCUUGAGCAAUAAUACCUUCGAAGUUAGUGAGGAGGCAAUAACCCAGGGCUACCUACUUCGCAGGGCCAGCCUCAAGUCAUCACAGUAAAGUGAAUACUGCAACAAAGUGAGUCACACAUAGUGUUUGCUUUCCUAGGACAUAUAAAAUUAUGUUGAUCCUAUAGUGUAGUCUAUUAAAAGUGAAAUUGCAUUAUGUCUGAAGAAACAAUGCACAUACCUGAAUUAAAAGAGUUCACUUCUGAAAUCUGCUAACCAUCAACCGAUCCCUCAGCGACUCAUCAUCUUUUUGUUGGUGAAGGGUCCCGCCUCGACAUUGCUGGCUGCUGACUGAUCUGGGUUGUGCUUGCUGAAGGCUAAGGGGUCUGUGGCAGUUUCUUAAAAUAAGACCAUGAACGUCACCGCAUCAACUGCUGGCCCUUCCUUUGUGACUUAGCAGGAAAUGCUGUUUGAUCGCAUUUUGCAGCAGAACGUCUUUCAAAGUUGGAAUCCGUCCUCUCCAAUCUUGCCUCUGCUUUAUCAGCUAAGUUUAUGUCAUAUUCUAAAUCCUUUGUUGGCAACAAUCUUCACAACAUCUUCACGGAGCGAAGAGUCCAUUUCCAGAAACCCCCUUCUUUGCUCAUCCAUGACAAGGAACUCUUCAUCCGUUCCAGUUUUACCAUGAGAUCACACCAAUUCAGUCUCCUUUUUAGGCUCUUCUUCUGAGUCUAGUUCCCUGCCAUGUCCACCACAUGGGCAGCUACUUCCUCUACUGAAGGUAGUAGGUAGGUCUUGAACCCCCCAAAGGCCUCCACGAGGGUUGAAAUCACUUUCUUUCCAAUGCCUGUUAAUCUGGAUAUUUUGACCUCUUCCUAUGAAUUAUGGAUGUUCUUCAUGGCUCUGGAAUGGGGACUCCUUCCCAAAAGAUUUUCAAUUUAUUUUGCCCCCAACCCAUCAGAGGCAUCACUCUCUAUUAGCUAUGGCCUUUCAAAAUGUAUUUCUUAAGUAACGAAACUUGAAAACUAAAAUUGCUCCUGGAAGGCGUUCCCAUUGUGGCUCAGUGGGUUACAAACCUGACUAGUUAUUUCCUGAGGAUGCAGGUUUGACCCCUGGCCUUGCUCAGUGGUUCAGUGGGUUAAAGAUCUGGCAUUGCUGUGGCUGUGGCUGUGGUGUAGGCCAGCAGAUGCAGCUCCGACUCAACCCCUAGCCUGGGCACUUCCAUAUGCUGCAGGUGCAGUCCUAAAAAGCCAAAAAAAAAAAAAAAAAGAUAGCAGAGUGACAGGGAUCAAUAUGACAUGUAAAAUAAUGUCUGUCUAGGUGCUUAUAUCCUAUAGAGGUAGACAGAUUAAAAUAAAAAACAAAAGAAGGUUAUCCCAGCUAGCUAUACCUUCAAUGAAGGGGAAAAAAAUCAGAGUGUAAUUUAGGACAUCCAUGGAGGAGGUCGCGGUGGGAGGCCACUUUGGGCUCAGUGGCAGACAAUGAAACUUGAGCAUAACCAUAAGCGAGACAAGCCAGGCACACAGAAUAUCUGGGGGAAGCAUAUUCCAGGCAGUGGGAACCCCAAGAACAACAGAGGCGAGCGGAAGCCUGCCCCCUUUUAAGCAGCAGAAUGUGACUGAGUAACCCAGGGAAGAGUGUGAGGGUAGGACAGCAGGGGCCGGAUCCUGGAGGACCUCAGAGACUUCAAGAAAGAGCGUGCACAUCCUUUGCAGUACAGUGGGAAACCAGCGGAGGGUUUUUAAUUGGGGUGUUGGCAUUUUAAGAAGCCUUUCUUGCCUUAUGGGGAUUUAGCUCCUUGUUGGGGAACAGGAGCGUAGGCAAGACAUCGUUUUGAAAGUCUUCCAGGCAAGAGAUGAUCCUGGGCUCUGGUGGUGACAGCCAGAUUGGCGGAAUGACUGGAUGCAGGAUUUUAAAACCCAUUGUUCGGAAUUCCCAUCAUAGCGCAGCAGAAACGAACCCGACUAGGAAUUAUGAGGUUGUGGGUUCAAUCCCUGGCCUCGCUCAGUGGGUUAAGGAUCUGGCGUUGCCACGGGAUAUGGUAUGGCUCACAGAUGCAGUCUGCAUCCUGCGUUGCUGUGGCUGAGGCACAGGCCAGCAGCUGUGGCUCUGAUUUGACCCUGGGAAUCUCCAUAUGCUGCAGGUGCGGCCCUAAAAAGCAAAAAAAAACAACAAAAAAACAAAAACAAAAACAAAAACAAAGCCAUUAUUGGAUUAGAAAUCUAACACACCUUUCACAAGAACCCAUAUGACUUUAAAGUUUCCAAACUUAUCAUGGAGGUAGGACCUNNNNNNNNNNNNNNNNNNNNNNNNNNCCUACACUCAUGUGAUCUGAUGACUUAGACCUUCAUCCAUUCCUAGAACCUACCCAACACGUUCUUUUGGGCCAAACACUCCACCCUUGUCCUCGCACCACUGUCUUCUCAUCCUUCAGGACGACACACACAGCGCUUUCUCAGAGGUGGUCCCUAACGACCCUAGAUAAUGCCACAGUCCUCUCCUGCUCUCGUCUUUCCUUUCUUGUCCAUCCUACCGAGCAUCAAAAUGUCUAACUAUUUAAUUUAUCUGUUGACUUGUCUGUCUCUGUCCCUGGAAUGGAAACUUCUUGGCAGGGACUACAUCUUCCUUGUUCAUGGUUAUGUUCCAGCACAUAAAGUCCUGCAUCACCAGUCACAGUUAGCAGUUUGGAUGAUGAAAUAUGUGACAAAGCGUAUCCGAAGCCCUUUGCAUAUAUGAAUGUAAACCUCCUAACAACCCUAAGAGGUUGAAUCUAUUAUAAUUCACCUUUUAUGGCCGAGGGAAUUACAAAGAUUUGAAGGGAUGUGCUCCAGAUUCCACGACGAGUGAAAAAGUACAUCUGGGGAGUUCCCUGGUGGCACAGCAGGUUAGGGAUAUGGUGUGAUCACUGCUGUGGUGCAGGUUCGAUCCCUGGCCUGGGAACGUCUGCAUGCUACAGGUGCAGCCAAAAAAGAGGCAAUCUGGAUUCUUGACCAUGAUCUUAAUCUUCCUUCAAGAUAAUGGGUAAAUCAGUGAUGGUCAUACUUAAUCCUCACCUUCUCUCUAAAUGAUGCUUCCAGCAUAUUUUUAAACAAAGAUAACGGGAGUAGGGGGGUGGGGGGAGGCAGGAAGAAUGCGGCUCCCUCUACUUGUCAUCCUGUGUUUUCUAUAGAUCACGUGAUGUUUCAUGUUUCACUGAGUUCUGUUACAUCUAAGCUGCCAGGUUCACCGUCAAACUCAUCUCAAAUUCUCUGACCAAGUUAUUGAGCAAUUAAAAAAAUAAAAGCAACCUUAAAAAAUAUUUAUAACACAGUGUUCUCCGUUGCCCGUUGGUCACAGACUGAUUAAUAUGCACAGUCAUGACUGGGUGAGCCUAAGCCAGUUUUCCCCCAGGCUGUGGCCCCCGGCACCCAGCCCCGGGCUUGGUACACAGUGGGAACUUGAUACCUAUUUGUUCAAUGAAUAAUGAACACGGCAUAUGAAACCUAUUAGGUGAUUUUGGCCUUGGGUCUCAUUUGGGGAACUCACAUAAACUGCAUCCAACAGAGCGUCUGCUACCCACCUGGUCCUGGCUGGCAGAGAAGCUGUAGCACUGAAGCUUUUGGCAGGCAGGUAGGUUGGGGUGGUUCCUGUGUUAUCCUGCUGCCGGUCUAGCAACCCUGUGUUUCCUCUCUGACUCUCUGGUCACCCACCUUUGCUCAUUCCAUGCCUGUUUCCUGCUCAGCCUCUCCAGCCUGACUCACGGUGUGACCUACUUUCCAGGCUCUGCGUCUGGCUUCUGGUUCCCAGACUCUGACGGGCAUUCUCCUCCCUGGCACAGAACUCUCGUGGACAGAUAUCUGGGAAUAGCCCCACCUUGGCAUGGCCUGGGGGUAUCUUACUUUUCACCCCACCUUCAGCCUGAGCCUGCCCCACCUCAACCCAAAGGGGAAAAAAAAAAAAAUGAUGCACUGCCAGCCCUGAUGGGUCUCGUCUUAGGUUGGAAGGAUCUGUUUUCUUCCACUGCCAGAUUCAUCUUUGUUCUUAGAACUUUUUGGAUGCUUGAAUGCCUUGAUUUUUUUCUAUCUCUUUGGGUAAGCUUAAUUCUCCCUUUCUUUUCUUAUCUACAGUUUCAUCAAAAAUCUUGGCUGUUUCGAAUAUAUGUCCAGCCAGUCUGAAGACAAGCACUAAUACCUUCCUGCCUUUUGAAAAGCAAAACUCACUGGAAACACAAUGUCUCCGUGGUAAGAGCCAAAUACUCUGCUAGGCACAAAGCUCUGAGAAUCAAGGCAGCUUUUUAAGCUUUUCAAUGAGGAAACUAAGUGUAAACUGUGUAUACAGAAAAAAAAAAAAAAAAUGUCCUUUAAUGUUGACAGAAGUCACUUUCUGGAGCUUGUUCCUAUUGUAUUUCCAUGUCUUCAUCCUGCUAACUCUCCGAUGCCUUUUUUUUUUUCCUUCAAAAAGAUAACAUUCCCAGUACAGUGGUGUACAGUUAGGAAAAGUUUAUUUUGCGCGCUUCCAGCAUCAGCAUCAAAGUCAAUGGCAUUUUCUACCAAGGAACAUCAGCUCCGAAUUAUCUUUGUCUAGAUUAUCUAGUGUUUGUUUUUUCCAGAUUUUCUUCUCCAAAACUCAGCCUGUCACAAAACAUCUUCAGCUUCCAUUGGCUGCUGUAGCCUAGUUAAUUUUUUUUUUUCUCCAAGAGAAGGAAAAUUGACUCGGAGAUUAGCUUAACUAAAACACGGGGUAGGUUGCUCUAAAGAAAAGUGAAUUUCACUGGGUCACAAGAAAAAGAGAGGAAUAACUUUGGAGGCUCUAUUACUAUUAUAUUAUUGAUACUAUUGAUAUUAUUAUUAUUAUUACAACUACCAUCAUGAUUACUCCUAUUUGUAUUUGGCUCUGUGACCCUUUAAGACAGAUCUCACCUUUUCUCUUUCUGUAACAUCCAGCUGAGCCAAGCAUCGUUUUGGAACUCUUUUUUGAGUUAAUUCAGAAGCCAUAAUUUUCUCCGAAUGCUGAGAAAUUAUUUGGAAUGAGGCCAUUUCACAGCACUGCAAGGUUGGAAGAGCUCCUUCCAGUUUACCUCAUUCAACCACCAUCAGUUUUUCUGGUCUCCUAACGUUGCUGCCGAGAGGGUGGUCUGGCCCCUGAUGGAACGCUUUGGGAUGGUCUGGUCUCUGAAACACUAGGAGGGCCUCGCUUUGAUCAUCGUUCACCUCAUUCCUGAAGCCACUGUAAUUGCUCUGUGGUUGGGUGGCCGAACACUCCAAGGGGGUGUAGGUAAGACUUGGGACAGGCCAGCCAAAUCCACCUGCACACAUUCAAUUCGCUGUGGCUGGCAGGAGUCCAGCCUAGAUACCAUUCAUACGAACAGGAGUCUUUUUGAAUUCGAGUCUUAUCUCCAGAAGCCAGUGAGAACAUCCAUUGUUCUCCUGCUGCAAGUUAACAGCUCUGCAUACUUUAGAAGCAAUGAGCCUAAACAAAAAGGAAUUUUCUUCCAGUGGUUUGUGUUGGAGCCAGUAGGAGCUAUGGAGUGCAUGCCGGGUGCAGAAGGAUUGAACGGAUUUUAGAAAAAUCUGUGGCUUAUUACUUAUUGUGUUACCCUGAGCCCCUCAACCAUGCCAGUACUAACCUUUAGCUAGUGCUAACGGUUAGGCAAGGUAGGAUUUCUUUGCUUAACCAACAGCUCAAGCUUAAUAACUGCCAUGACAAAUAACUUUGCUCUAGUCUACUAAUUACUAAAAGGAAUGGCUAGCUGUCUCCUAUUUUCUUUUAAUCGCUCUGUUUCUCAUGUAAUUAACCUAUUAAACAGCUACGUUUACCUCUAACAGGAUGCGGUCAUUUGAGGAAUCAUGUCUUGAGGUGAAACAAAUCCUCCUUCAUUUCUUGCUGUGUUACAGCUCACUGGUCAGAAUUACAAAGAGGGGCAUUUACAAGUAAGAACACUGGAGUCCCUGUUGUGGCUCAGUGGGUUAAGAACCCAACCUAGUAUCCGUGAGGAUGCAGGUUCAAGCCCUGGCCCCGCUCCGUGGGUUAAGGAUCUGGUGGUGCCAUGAGCUGUGGUGUAGGUCUGAAGCUGUAGCUCUGACUCCACUCCCAGCUCCAGAACUUCCACAUGCCACAGGUGUGGCCCUAAAAAGAAAAAAAAAAGGGGGGGGGACUAAGAACACUGAUGACUGAUCAGCCACUGAAGCUGUCUUUGGGAAGACGGAAGUCUGGGAACUCCUAGCUACUCAGGGCAGAGUUUAAGUCUGGUGGUCUCUGAGCAGGACCACAGAAUCACAGGCUUUGCAGAAAGUUCGAUGCCGGGUGUGAACAGCAGCCUCAUGACUCAUUCAAGGGUGAGCUGGAAUGGGGUGAUCCAGGCAGAAGACUUUUCAAGAGAAGCAAAACUGUAGCCAAAUGACUAGCAGGGCCCAGGAGUGCUGGGGAAACCCAGCUGUCUGUUAGACUUCCCUUCCCCUGCCCCACCACCCUGAAAAAAAAAGGGCUUGUUUGUUCAAAAGGCUCCAGGCAGUGAGUUUACAUACAGGAUUGGACACAUCUGGAAGAUGCAAUUACUGGGCCUGCAAUUAGUAAGCUUGGUACCCACACACAUGGAGAAGGUGCAUCUCCUGUUCUUACACCUCUGGGAGAGUCUGGCCUUUAAACCUUAGGUCUUCUUUUGUCAUUUAGGAAAAUUGGUAACCAUUCAAUUGUUCAUUGGAAGUGAGUUCUCCUUGUGGGGAUGGAAUGCGGCUACCCGGGAGAUGAUUUCAUUCGAUCAGACCCAGAAGUCGCCAAGCCUCCCAAAGAUGAUUUCUUUAGACACAGAAUGUUCUAUGAGUCUGUGCUUUGACUGCAGAGCCCUAUCAGGUGAAUAAUUAUACUGUAACUGUGUUUCAGACAAUGCUAGUGACGAGCGAAGCAAUUUCUGUUUUGAAAUGUUACCUUAUGGGUGAAAGUCCACUGAUCAUCCUUCUGGAAGAUUAAAAGAAAACAGAACUCAGAAGUUUUUAUAUGUGUGUGUGUAUAAAUUCCACCAUUUAAUCUAUGUAGAAAUGAAUGUAAUUAUAUAAUUAUAGAUAUGCAAUUAUAGAAAUUUACAUACAUUUCAGAAAGUCUCCGUCUAGAUAAAUUUAGAUAAAUCUCAAUCUAGAUAUGCUUAUUAUUUGACUGCCUGGACUUGAAGGGGGAAACUUUUAUGAAAAAAAAAAAAAAAA
RNAcentral lists this long non-coding RNA (8743 nucleotides) under Sus scrofa (pig). RNAcentral describes it as "lncRNA (ENSSSCG00005019587.1)". The record is from RNAcentral. Lineage: Eukaryota; Metazoa; Chordata; Mammalia; Artiodactyla; Suidae.